Gadus macrocephalus (Pacific cod) is the source of this 1027-nucleotide long non-coding RNA. RefSeq lists it as uncharacterized. The transcript has 2 exons. The record is from RefSeq and is a predicted model, not a curated record. NCBI's taxonomy places the organism in Eukaryota, Metazoa, Chordata, Actinopteri, Gadiformes, Gadidae.
GUGUCUGUGUGUGUGUGUGUGUGUGUGUGUGUGUGUGUGUGUGUGUGUCUUUCUGUGUUUCUGUGUGUUUAAGCAUUUAUGUGUGUGUGUGUGUGUGUGUGUGUGUGUGUGUGUGUGUGUGUGUGUGUGUGUGUGUGUGUCUGUGUGUGUGUGUGCGUGUGUGUUUGGGUAUGUGUCUGUGUGCAUGUGUUUGUGUGUGUGUGUGUACUAGGGAUGGGCAAAAUGAUUCUUUUCCGGGAACUAGUUCUUUCAGUUCAGUUCACUAUAACGAUUCGUUUAUUUGAUUCGUUCGUUUUGAUUCGUUCGUUACGUCAGAUUACAUCUUAAAAAAAAUUAAAAAUAAAAAAACUUUUUUUUAUAAUUUCUUUUUUUUUUAAAUUGGUCGUGGGUCCGGAUAGGACCGUCAAGACCGCAGUCCGCCGUUUGGAGAUGCCUGCUAUAUAGUAUGUUGAACGUCCCACCGAUAUUUAUACCACUUGCUUACUCUCUAUAUUUCAUUCAUGGUUUUACAUUUAUAAUUUUAUUUUACUUUACAUUUAAUUCUUCAUUGUUCAGGCAUUACAGAACUUGCAUGGUCAUAAAUAAAAAAUACGAACUGCAGUUUAAUUUCUUUGUUCUUAAAUUGACGUAGAAUGGAGCAAAGACUCCUGGGAUUGGGAAAUGCGUUUAUCCAAUAAACAGAUGGAGGUCAAGUCUAUUUUCGAAAAAAUGUAGGGGGAUAUAUGAGUCGAAUGGUAUGACCCAAGAUACGUCAGACAGAGAAAGCGCGCAUAUUCGACGGUACCGCCUUGUCAUUGGUUUACCCAGGUGCCAUUCCAACACCAUUGCUACCUCUCAUUGGCUGAAUCUUUGAGAAAGUUGUAGACUCAAUCAAUGGAAGUCGCGGGGAGACGGAGCUCUGUUCGUUUGUAUAUUUUAUUUACGUGACCAUAUGUUUGGUUUAUGUUAAAAAAAAAGAAUCAAAGAACCAGUUCUUCUUGUUUUGGGGAACCAGUUCUUGUCGUUCACGUUCGGGAUUCGUUCGUUG